RNAcentral lists this ribosomal RNA (329 nucleotides) under Salmonella enterica subsp. enterica serovar Ohio. RNAcentral's name for it is "partial 23S ribosomal RNA". It matches the Rfam family "Bacterial large subunit ribosomal RNA", at positions 1 to 357 of the family's 2925-position model. The record is from RNAcentral. Lineage: Bacteria; Pseudomonadati; Pseudomonadota; Gammaproteobacteria; Enterobacterales; Enterobacteriaceae.
GGGUUGUGAGGUUAAGCGACUAAGCGUACACGGUGGAUGCCCUGGCAGUCAGAGGCGAUGAAGGGCGUGCUAAUCUGCGAUAAGCGCCGGUAAGGUGAUAUGAACCGUUAUAACCGGCGAUACCCGAAUGGGGAAACCCAGUGUGACUCGUCACACUAUCAUUAACUGAAUCCAUAGGUUAAUGAGGCGAACCGGGGGAACUGAAACAUCUAAGUACCCCGAGGAAAAGAAAUCAACCGAGAUUCCCCCAGUAGCGGCGAGCGAACGGGGAGGAGCCCAGAGCCUGAAUCAGCAUGUGUGUUAGUGGAAGCGUCUGGAAAGGCGCGCGA